UGUUGGUCUCCUGAUGGGUAAUAAGAACAAGCGGAUGGAGCCUUCAACUGAGAAGAAAACUGAUGAUGAAGAGGUCUUACGAAACAAGCCUGAUUUUCACCGCAAACCAUGGCCAACCAUAAGCAACAGUGCGAAAGAUUUUGUAAAGAAGUUACUGGUGAAGGAUCCUCGGGCAAGACUAACUACUGCCCAGGCCCUAUGUAUGUAUUGAAUUUGUCUCUUAGUAAAUAUCAAUUUUGAUUACUUCUGGCCUAUUGGAAUUGGCUAAUGCAAUUACAAAAAUUUUUAGGCAAUAGAGUUGUGACUCAAACUGAGAUUCUUUUAGUUUUCUUUUUAUUUUACAAUUUAGUCCCUGAGAAUAGUUACUGUGUUAUGUUCUUCCCCCCUUUUAUAAUCAUAAACAUUUGGGGGGGGGGGAUAUAUGAAUAUCUUUCAUUUCAUUUUAAA
This is a long non-coding RNA of Quercus lobata, 447 nucleotides long. RefSeq lists it as uncharacterized. The transcript has 3 exons. NCBI's taxonomy places the organism in Eukaryota, Viridiplantae, Streptophyta, Magnoliopsida, Fagales, Fagaceae. The record is from RefSeq and is a predicted model, not a curated record.